Long non-coding RNA from Rhea pennata, 239 nucleotides. RefSeq lists it as uncharacterized. The record is from RefSeq and is a predicted model, not a curated record. NCBI's taxonomy places the organism in Eukaryota, Metazoa, Chordata, Aves, Rheiformes, Rheidae. The transcript has 3 exons.
AAAUGAGCUAUGGAGAAACUGCAACAGCUGGAGACAGCAAAUCAAGAGGCAGCAGUGAAGCUCGAGAAGCUGAACACUGUUCCUGUAGAAGAGCAAGCAGAGUUCAGGCAGCUGUCUGAUGACAUUCAGGAAUUGCAGCAACUGCUAAACCACGACUAUCGUCGGAAAACGCCUUUACAGACUUCUCUGGUAUACGCGUGCACAAACACACGUCUGUCACCCGUUAGACUGCGCCUCUG